This 578-nucleotide long non-coding RNA is filed under the name Mus spretus (western wild mouse). Its description in RNAcentral is "lncRNA (ENSMSPG00010000657.1)". Lineage: Eukaryota; Metazoa; Chordata; Mammalia; Rodentia; Muridae. The record is from RNAcentral.
GCAGCACCCUCCAUGGCCUCUGCAUCAGCUCCUGCCUCCAGGUUCCUGCCAUGCUUGAGUUCCAGUCCUCACUUCCUUUGGUGAUGAACAUCCAUGUGGAAAUGGAAAGACACCCGCCUAAGAUCACAGGUCAAACCAGGCAUGGUUGUUUAUACCUGUACUCCAAACAUUAAGGAAGUAGACGCAGGAGGAUCCGAGUUCGAAACCAGCUCUGAAUGUACAGAGAAUUCGAGGCCAGCUGGGCCUACCGGACCCGUUUCUCAAGAAUCAACCAACCAUGGAAACCAGAGAAACUCCUUCCAAAACCGGCAACUCUUAAGUGGAUGUAUGUGCCCUGCACCCGGCCUCCCAUCACAGGAAAGAUGGCAGUCAAACAUUAAAGUCAAACCCAGGAACUCAGGGCUGCAGCUGUUGCUAGAAAUGAUUGUUUUUUCCCCAGUAGAUAACAGGAAGGCCCUACACUGCUCUUUCACUGUUGCGGCCCAAACCCUUCCUUGCCCUCCAAGACAGUCUGUAAGCUACAGAAUGGAAAUGAUUGACGGAACCAGAGUCGACCUCGAUGUGCCUAGAUGCCCUGG